RNAcentral lists this ribosomal RNA (253 nucleotides) under uncultured bacterium. RNAcentral describes it as "partial 16S ribosomal RNA". It matches the Rfam family "Bacterial small subunit ribosomal RNA", at positions 524 to 776 of the family's 1533-position model. The record is from RNAcentral.
UACGUAGGGGGCAAGCGUUGUCCGGAUUUAUUGGGCGUAAAGAGCGUGUAGGCGGCCAGGUAGGUCAGCUGUGAAAACUCGAGGCUCAACCUCGAGACGUCGGUUGAAACCACCUGGCUAGAGUCCGGAAGAGGAGAGUGGAAUUCCUGGUGUAGCGGUGAAAUGCGCAGAUAUCAGGAAGAACACCCGUGGCGAAGGCGGCGCUCUGGGACGGUACUGACGCUGAGACGCGAAAGCGUGGGGAGCGAACAGG